GCGAUGAGCUGAUUUGCAUAAGUCGAGCGACACGCCUUUGGCAAUACACUAUGUGGAGUGUAGUCACUCGCCGCAAUACGCAAAAAGACGUCCCUCGGGACGUCUU
Non-coding RNA from Anaerobacillus sp., 106 nucleotides. NCBI's taxonomy places the organism in Bacteria, Bacillati, Bacillota, Bacilli, Caryophanales, Bacillaceae. The record is from Rfam.